RNAcentral lists this ribosomal RNA (253 nucleotides) under uncultured bacterium. RNAcentral's name for it is "partial 16S ribosomal RNA". It matches the Rfam family "Bacterial small subunit ribosomal RNA", at positions 524 to 776 of the family's 1533-position model. The record is from RNAcentral.
GACGUAGGGCGCGAGCGUUGUCCGGAUUUAUUGGGCGUAAAGAGCUCGUAGGCGGUUUGUCGCGUCGUCCGUGAAAACUCACAGCUUAACUGUGAGCUUGCGGUCGAUACGGGCAGGCUAGAGUUCGGAAGGGGAGACUGGAAUUCCUGGUGUAGCAGUGAAAUGCGUAGAUAUCAAGUGGAACACCAGUGGCGAAGGCGAGUCUCUGGACAUUUCCUGACGCUGAGGCACGAAAGCCAGGGGAGCAAACGGG